This 273-nucleotide ribosomal RNA is filed under the name uncultured bacterium. Its description in RNAcentral is "partial 16S ribosomal RNA". It matches the Rfam family "Bacterial small subunit ribosomal RNA", at positions 524 to 796 of the family's 1533-position model. The record is from RNAcentral.
UACGAAUGGAGCGAGCGUUGUUCGGAAUCACUGGGCGUAAAGCGUGCGCAGGCGGUUGUGAAAGUCAGGAGUGAAAUCCCAGGGCUCAACCUUGGAAUUGCUUUUGAAACUUCACGACUAGAGUACUGGAGGGGUUGGCGGAAUUUCGAGUGUAGCAGUGAAAUGCGUAGAUAUUCGAAGGAACACCGAUGGCGUAGGCAGCCAACUGGACAGUUACUGACGCUCAUGCACGAAAGUAUGGGGAGCAAACAGGAUUAGAAACCCGCGUAGUCC